GAUGAACGCUGGCGGCGUGCCUAAUACAUGCAAGUCGAGCGAACGGACGAGAAGCUUGCUUCUCUGAUGUUAGCGGCGGACGGGUGAGUAACACGUGGAUAACCUACCUAUAAGACUGGGAUAACUUCGGGAAACCGGAGCUAAUACCGGAUAAUAUUUUGAACCGCAUGGUUCAAAAGUGAAAGACGGUCUUGCUGUCACUUAUAGAUGGAUCCGCGCUGCAUUAGUUAGUUGGUAAGGUAACGGCUUACCAAGGCAACGAUGCAUAGCCGACCUGAGAGGGUGAUCGGCCACACUGGAACUGAGACACGGUCCAGACUCCUACGGGAGGCAGCAGUAGGGAAUCUUCCGCAAUGGGCGAAAGCCUGACGGAGCAACGCCGCGUGAGUGAUGAAGGUCUUCGGAUCGUAAAACUCUGUUAUUAGGGAAGAACAUAUGUGUAAGUAACUGUGCACAUCUUGACGGUACCUAAUCAGAAAGCCACGGCUAACUACGUGCCAGCAGCCGCGGUAAUACGUAGGUGGCAAGCGUUAUCCGGAAUUAUUGGGCGUAAAGCGCGCGUAGGCGGUUUUUUAAGUCUGAUGUGAAAGCCCACGGCUCAACCGUGGAGGGUCAUUGGAAACUGGAAAACUUGAGUGCAGAAGAGGAAAGUGGAAUUCCAUGUGUAGCGGUGAAAUGCGCAGAGAUAUGGAGGAACACCAGUGGCGAAGGCGACUUUCUGGUCUGUAACUGACGCUGAUGUGCGAAAGCGUGGGGAUCAAACAGGAUUAGAUACCCUGGUAGUCCACGCCGUAAACGAUGAGUGCUAAGUGUUAGGGGGUUUCCGCCCCUUAGUGCUGCAGCUAACGCAUUAAGCACUCCGCCUGGGGAGUACGACCGCAAGGUUGAAACUCAAAGGAAUUGACGGGGACCCGCACAAGCGGUGGAGCAUGUGGUUUAAUUCGAAGCAACGCGAAGAACCUUACCAAGUCUUGACAUCCUUUGACAACUCUAGAGAUAGAGCCUUCCCCUUCGGGGGACAAAGUGACAGGUGGUGCAUGGUUGUCGUCAGCUCGUGUCGUGAGAUGUUGGGUUAAGUCCCGCAACGAGCGCAACCCUUAAGCUUAGUUGCCAUCAUUAAGUUGGGCACUCUAAGUUGACUGCCGGUGACAAACCGGAGGAAGGUGGGGAUGACGUCAAAUCAUCAUGCCCCUUAUGAUUUGGGCUACACACGUGCUACAAUGGACAAUACAAAGGGCAGCGAAACCGCGAGGUCAAGCAAAUCCCAUAAAGUUGUUCUCAGUUCGGAUUGUAGUCUGCAACUCGACUACAUGAAGCUGGAAUCGCUAGUAAUCGUAGAUCAGCAUGCUACGGUGAAUACGUUCCCGGGUCU
RNAcentral lists this ribosomal RNA (1372 nucleotides) under uncultured bacterium. RNAcentral's name for it is "bacterial SSU rRNA". It matches the Rfam family "Bacterial small subunit ribosomal RNA", at positions 28 to 1381 of the family's 1533-position model. The record is from RNAcentral.